Molecule: long non-coding RNA, 618 nt
Filed under: Helianthus annuus (common sunflower)
Lineage: Eukaryota; Viridiplantae; Streptophyta; Magnoliopsida; Asterales; Asteraceae
Description: hypothetical non coding rna
Source: RNAcentral
UUUCAAACCUUAACAACCGCCCAAGAACCUGUACGCGUUAUUUCCUUGUUUAACCGGUCAACUUCCUUUCUGUCCUGUUCGUAAUGUCCGGCAAUCAAUCAUUAGAUUGAUUGCCAAUCACCGGUUACCAUAAAAUCACCAAGUUGCCAUAUCCCGACACUCCUAUAAAUACCCAACCACACCUCCAUAACCGGUACCAUCACUUCAAUCCAUCGCCGGAGAUUUGGAACUCACCGGAAAACCUCGACCUUCCAUCUUUCAUAACCGACCUGCAACAUCGACUGAACCCGACCCGAACCGCCUUCUCGCCGGAACCACCGGAGCCACCCCCACUCGCCGCCGUCCGCCGUCGAACCACCGGGUAAUUCUCUUGUGCAACGACACUUGGAACAAUCCUCAUAUUCUCUUUACAAGAAUCGCAACGCAAUCACUGUAUUGUUAGGUUUAACUAUGUCAAACAUACUCAAACUCGUUUGGGUUGAUUGAUCAAGAUACAAGAAAACAAGCUAGGAUGGCUUAGAAACUCACUCUAGAAAUAAGCUAUUGUUUGAAUUUAUAUUUGAUUGUUGAAACUUUGUAUUAUCCUUUAGAAUUUAAUAAAAUGAUUUAAUUUAUAUU